GAGUGAACGCUGGCGGUAGGCCUAACACAUGCAAGUCGAACGGCAGCCCAGUAAGAGCUUGCUCUUACGGGUGGCGAGUGGCGGACGGGUGAGGAAUACAUCGGAAUCUACUUUUUCGUGGGGGAUAACGUAGGGAAACUUACGCUAAUACCGCAUACGACCUACGGGUGAAAGCAGGGGAUCUUCGGACCUUGCGCGAUUGAAUGAGCCGAUGUCGGAUUAGCUAGUUGGCGGGGUAAAGGCCCACCAAGGCGACGAUCCGUAGCUGGUCUGAGAGGAUGAUCAGCCACACUGGAACUGAGACACGGUCCAGACUCCUACGGGAGGCAGCAGUGGGGAAUAUUGGACAAUGGGCGCAAGCCUGAUCCAGCCAUACCGCGUGGGUGAAGAAGGCCUUCGGGUUGUAAAGCCCUUUUGUUGGGAAAGAAAAGCAGCAGGUUAAUACCCCGCUGUUCUGACGGGACCCAAAGAAUAAGCACCGGCUAACUUCGU
RNAcentral lists this ribosomal RNA (492 nucleotides) under uncultured bacterium. RNAcentral's name for it is "partial 16S ribosomal RNA". It matches the Rfam family "Bacterial small subunit ribosomal RNA", at positions 27 to 506 of the family's 1533-position model. The record is from RNAcentral.